RNAcentral lists this transfer RNA (75 nucleotides) under Escherichia coli. RNAcentral describes it as "tRNA-Gly". It matches the Rfam family "tRNA". Rfam says of the family: Transfer RNA (tRNA) molecules are approximately 80 nucleotides in length. Their secondary structure includes four short double-helical elements and three loops (D, anti-codon, and T loops). Further hydrogen bonds mediate the characteristic L-shaped molecular structure. tRNAs have two regions of fundamental functional importance: the anti-codon, which is responsible for specific mRNA codon recognition, and the 3' end, to which the tRNAs corresponding amino acid is attached (by aminoacyl-tRNA synthetases). tRNAs cope with the degeneracy of the genetic code in two manners: having more than one tRNA (with a specific anti-codon) for a particular amino acid; and 'wobble' base-pairing, i.e. permitting non-standard base-pairing at the 3rd anti-codon position. RNAcentral also lists the same sequence under 32 other names. The record is from RNAcentral. Lineage: Bacteria; Pseudomonadati; Pseudomonadota; Gammaproteobacteria; Enterobacterales; Enterobacteriaceae.
GCGGGCAUCGUAUAAUGGCUAUUACCUCAGCCUUCCAAGCUGAUGACGCGGGUUCGAUUCCCGCUGCCCGCUCCA